RNAcentral lists this ribosomal RNA (465 nucleotides) under Vreelandella stevensii. RNAcentral's name for it is "partial 16S ribosomal RNA". It matches the Rfam family "Bacterial small subunit ribosomal RNA", at positions 338 to 795 of the family's 1533-position model. Lineage: Bacteria; Pseudomonadati; Pseudomonadota; Gammaproteobacteria; Oceanospirillales; Halomonadaceae. The record is from RNAcentral.
CCUACGGGUGGCAGCAGUGGGGAAUAUUAGACAAUGGGCGAAAGCCUGAUCCAGCCAUGCCGCGUGUGUGAAGAAGGCCUUCGGGUUGUAAAGCACUUUCAGUGGGGAAGAAAGCCUUGGGGCUAAUACCCUCGAGGAAGGACAUCACCCACAGAAGAAGCACCGGCUAACUCCGUGCCAGCAGCCGCGGUAAUACGGAGGGUGCGAGCGUUAAUCGGAAUUACUGGGCGUAAAGCGCGCGUAGGCGGUCUGAUAAGCCGGUUGUGAAAGCCCCGGGCUCAACCUGGGAACGGCAUCCGGAACUGUCAGGCUAGAGUGCAGGAGAGGAAGGUAGAAUUCCCGGUGUAGCGGUGAAAUGCGUAGAGAUCGGGAGGAAUACCAGUGGCGAAGGCGGCCUUCUGGACUGACACUGACGCUGAGGUGCGAAAGCGUGGGUAGCAAACAGGAUUAGAUACCCCAGUAGUC